Long non-coding RNA from Leucoraja erinaceus (little skate), 3816 nucleotides. RefSeq lists it as uncharacterized. The record is from RefSeq and is a predicted model, not a curated record. The transcript has 3 exons. Lineage: Eukaryota; Metazoa; Chordata; Chondrichthyes; Rajiformes; Rajidae.
CACCUGAUGUGAUCGAGACCCUGUUGCUGGAAUGUGCAGGGUUCCUGAGCGACUUUCCUUUUUAACUCUCCCGAACGCUCGCCGCACACUGAGACGGCGUGACGAUGUAAACUUGCUCCAUAUGUGCCCAGGACAACUUGAGCGGCACAGUGGCGCAGCGGUAGAGUUGCAGCGCCAGAGACCCGGGUUCGAUCCUGACUACGGGGUGCUGCCUGUACGGAGUUUGCACGUUCUCCCAGUGACCUGUGUGGGUUUUCUCCGGGUGCUCCGGUUUCCUCCCACAUUCCAAAGACGUACAGGCUUGUGUUUCAAUGCGUUUUAACGCAUUUUUCGGAGCAGAGCUAAAAGGAGCACUUCUAACUGCUCCAUGGCGCCACCGGAAGUCUCCACAAAACAAUAUUUAUUAAAUGUCAUAAACAAUAUCUAUAAAUAAAUGAAAUCGUAUGUGUCUGAAAAGGAGCAGGAAGAAGCCAAAGCUUAUUAAUUCCCACCCUUUAUUCAACUGCCUAUAAUGAUCUGAUACAAAUUUAGCAACAAUAUGUACACCAUAUGUACACCAGCAGCGAUAUGUACACCAAAUUAUUUACAUUUAUACACUAAUCAAAUAUUUACAAUGCCAUACAAAAAAAGAGAGAAAAAAGAAAAAUGGCAAAACCCUCCUGUAUUAUACAGUACAUCUUCGUCAUAUAGACAACCCAUCACCCUAUAAUCACCCUUCCCAAUACAAUCAGUAUAAUAAAUAUCCCACUCACAAUCACCUAUCCUCAUCCCAAUAUCCUUUAAAAAAAGUGUUUUUGUACAUCUUUUUAAACUGAAUUAUGUUUGUGCUAAGUUUUAUCUCCUGUUCCAGACCGUUCCUCAAAUUCUCCCCACAGAUUGCUAUGCACAUACUUUUAAGAGUUGUUCUGACAUUGAGUUUUUUUAAAUUAAGUUCCCCUCUCAAAUUAUACCCACCCUGUCUUUCCAUAAACAGUUUUUGUAUAUUUCCUGGAAGUAAAUUAUUUCUUGCUUUAUACAUGAUUAGCGCAGUCUUAAAUUUAACCAGAUCGGUGAACUUCAGUGUAUGUGAUUUUAAGUAUAAUAAAUUGGUAUGUUAUUGAUAAUUCUUAUUGCUCUUUUUUGUAAUGUGCAUAACGGCUGUAGGUUGGUUUUGUAGGUGUUACCCCACAUCUCCGCACAGUAACUCAGAUAUGGCAAUAUGAGUGUAUUAUACAGAGCAUGUAACGAUUUGUGGUCCAGAAUGUGUCUUGAUUUUCCCAAUAUCGCUAUAAACUUUGCCAGUUUUGCUUUGACGUGGUUUAUAUGUGGUUUCCAGCAGAUUUUGUGGUCCAAGGUCACACCAAGAAAUUUAUUUUCACAUACUCUUUCUAUACUUAUGUUAUCCAUUUUCAAUUGUACGCGUUUUUAGGGGCUAAGUUUCUUGCACAGAAGCUUAGUUUUUAGUUUAGCUUUGGACCAGCAUGGGGAAGGUUUACCUUUUGACCAUGUGGAGUGUAACGGAGACACGAGGAGUUUUCUAACCUUGAAGGCGAUAUGCUGGAGUUCAAUGAAGAUUAUAGUGUACGAGUCGGAAGAAGUUUGGAUGUACCUUAUUGUUUUUCAUCAACAAUGAAGAGUAUAUUAAUCAAAAGACUGUGUUAUGAAGAUUGAUCUAUGAAGAAGCUCUGAAGGUUCCCGACGGAGAGCUCGCAUGCGUAUAACGACAUUCCCCUUAACCAUGUAGUCCACUUAGCGGCUAGAGGGAGUAAUCUCUUGAACGGUAUACAAAUCCAUCGCUGCACAGAAGCUGGGUCUUUUUUUCCGCUGAAGCAUAGGGAGGCUAAGAGGUGACAUUAUAGAGGUUUAUAAAAUCAUGAGCGGCACAGAUAAGGUGAAUAGGCACAUUCUUUAUCCUGGGGAAGGGAAAUGAAAAACUUCCAAAAAUGAUGUAAACAUAGAAACAUAGAACAUAGGUGCAGGAGUAGGCCAUUCGGCCCUUCGAGCCUGCACCGCCAUUCAAUAUGAUCACGGCUGAUCAUCCAACUCAGUAUCCCGUACCUGCCUUCUCUCCAUACCCCCUGAUCCCCUUAGCCACAAGGGCCACAUCUAACUCCCUCUUAAAUAUAGCCAAUGAACUGGCCUCAACUACCCUCUGUGGCAGAGAGUUCCAGAGAUUCACCACUCUCUGUGUGAAAAAAGUUCUUCUCAUCUCGGUUUUAAAGGAUUUCCCCCUUAUCCUUAAGCUGUGACCCCUUGUCCUGGACUUCCCUAACAUCGGGAACAAUCUUCCUGCAUCUAGCCUGUCCAACCUCUUAAGAAUUUUGUAAGUUUCUAUAAGAUCCCCUCUCAAUCUCCUAAAUUCUAGAGAGUAUAAACCAAGUUUAUCCAGUCUUUCUUCAUAAGACAAUCCUGACAUCCCAGGAAUCAGUCUGGUGAACCAUCUCUGCACUCCCUCUAUGGCAAUAAUGUCCUUCCUCAGAUUUGGAGACCAAAACUGUACGCAAUACUCCAGGUGUGGUCUCACCAAGACCCUGUACAACUGCAGUAGAACCUCCCUGCUCCUAUACUCAAAUCCUUUCGCAAUGAAAGCUAACAUACCAAAUUUAAAACAUACCAGAUUUAAAAAAAUCAUUCCAAAAAUAAUGUAGGGCAGCAAUGAAGAUUAGAUGCGGCCUUGCAGUGGAUUCUCCUCCACUCCAGUGUGUUCUGGGCCAGCUUCUGGACACUACCCCAGGUCAGGUCCAUUGUUUUUAUUUCCUCCUCUACAGUUCGACGCCAGGUGGUUUUGGGUCUCCCUCUUUUCCUUUUCCCUUCCGGUAUUCUUGCGAUGCUAUCAGGUUCUCUUCACAGUAUAUGGCCAAUCCAGUUUCAGCGCCUUCUCGUGAUGAUGGUGCCCAUGGUCUCUUGUUGGUAUUGGGCAAGGAGAUCUUGGUUGGAUAUGGCGCUUGGCCAAAAUAUUCUACUUCCACCUUCCUGCCAGUGGCUUCCUUUCGGCUUUCACCAUUGACAUUCAUCCUAGUAUCUGUCGAUAGCCCUGGAGGUCCAUCACGCCCAGCAGUGUUGAUUCCUUCAGUUGCUGUUUCCGUAACAUAUUUGUUUUACAAGACAGGGUUGUUCGCCGUGUAGCUCAACCUCCAACCUGGAGGACCAGUGGAUCGCUCUUCGUCUCGCCUCUACCCUUCGACCUGUCCAGCACGGGAGACCCUAACAGGAGGCCAAUCUCCCACUGGCAUAGCUCUAGGGGUCACUGAGCCACACACACGCUCCCCGACCACGACAAGGUUGCAAUCCAACGGGGAGAAAUAACAAACAUAGUACAGUAAUAAUAUAGACUUUUCCAGUUCAGAGCUCUGAGCUUAUUUGUUAUCGUGUUUAAUAGCCCGAUGGCUGUAAGGAAGAAGCUGUUCCUGUACCUGGACGCUACAGUUUUCAGGCUCCUGUACCUUCUUCCUGAUGGCAGUGGUGAGAUGAGUGUGUGGCCAGGAUGGUGUGGGUCUUUGAUGAUGUUGGCUGCCUUUUGGAGGCAGCGACUACGAUCAAUCCCUUUGACGGAGGGGAAGUCAGAGCCAGUGAUGGUCACAUCUUUUUGUAGUCAUCCAAAGGCGUGUUAAACACCACAGGUGUAUCUGCCUCCACCACCAUCCCUGGCAAUGCUUUCCAGUUACCUCCCUAGACAACUUCAUUGAGCAUGUUACAUGACAUGGAACACAGUAGAAACUUCGGCCCACACGCUGUACAAAGAAAAUGCAGUUAAGAAACACUUGGUCAGCAGAAUCUCUAUCUCAAGGUUCCACCUUAUUCCGGGAUCAUUGGCAUGGUAACACAAGAAGCAACACA